GGGGGUAUAGCUCAAGGGUAGAGUGUGUGCCUAGCAUGCACAAGGUCCUAGGUUCAAUCCCUAGUAUCUCCA
Molecule: transfer RNA, 72 nt
Filed under: Camelus bactrianus (Bactrian camel)
Lineage: Eukaryota; Metazoa; Chordata; Mammalia; Artiodactyla; Camelidae
Also listed under: 1 other name
Rfam family: tRNA
About the family: Transfer RNA (tRNA) molecules are approximately 80 nucleotides in length. Their secondary structure includes four short double-helical elements and three loops (D, anti-codon, and T loops). Further hydrogen bonds mediate the characteristic L-shaped molecular structure. tRNAs have two regions of fundamental functional importance: the anti-codon, which is responsible for specific mRNA codon recognition, and the 3' end, to which the tRNAs corresponding amino acid is attached (by aminoacyl-tRNA synthetases). tRNAs cope with the degeneracy of the genetic code in two manners: having more than one tRNA (with a specific anti-codon) for a particular amino acid; and 'wobble' base-pairing, i.e. permitting non-standard base-pairing at the 3rd anti-codon position.
Source: Rfam by way of RNAcentral